AUCGCUUCUCGGCCUUUUGGCUAAGAUCAAGUGUAAAAAAUCAAACAGUAAAAAAUACACUUCAGUGUUGGGAUUUUAAAUGAUAUUUUACUUCUCCCAUAUUUUUCUAUUACUUGAAUUUUAAAUAAAUUUCCUUUUUUAUCAGGGCUUCCCAGGUGGUGCAGUGGUAAGCAGGAGUUGCAAAAGAUGCAGGUUCAGUCCCUGGACUGGGAAGAUCCCCU
This 221-nucleotide small nuclear RNA is filed under the name Cervus hanglu yarkandensis (Yarkand deer). Its description in RNAcentral is "U2 spliceosomal RNA (ENSCHYG00000004946.1)". It matches the Rfam family "U2 spliceosomal RNA". From Rfam's summary of the family: U2 is a small nuclear RNA (snRNA) component of the spliceosome (involved in pre-mRNA splicing). Complementary binding between U2 snRNA (in an area lying towards the 5' end but 3' to hairpin I) and the branchpoint sequence (BPS) of the intron results the bulging out of an unpaired adenosine, on the BPS, which initiates a nucleophilic attack at the intronic 5' splice site, thus starting the first of two transesterification reactions that mediate splicing. The record is from RNAcentral. Lineage: Eukaryota; Metazoa; Chordata; Mammalia; Artiodactyla; Cervidae.